CGUGUGGAAGCGUGGCGACACGUGAAGCUGAGAGAUACUAAUCGAUCGAGGGCUUAACCA
This 60-nucleotide ribosomal RNA is filed under the name Actinophytocola xinjiangensis. RNAcentral describes it as "partial 23S ribosomal RNA". RNAcentral also lists the same sequence under 1 other name. The record is from RNAcentral. Lineage: Bacteria; Bacillati; Actinomycetota; Actinomycetes; Pseudonocardiales; Pseudonocardiaceae.